RNAcentral lists this ribosomal RNA (137 nucleotides) under uncultured eukaryote. RNAcentral's name for it is "partial 18S ribosomal RNA". It matches the Rfam family "Eukaryotic small subunit ribosomal RNA", at positions 1299 to 1458 of the family's 1831-position model. The record is from RNAcentral.
UGGUGGAGCGAUUUGUCUGGUUAAUUCCGAUAACGAACGAGACUCUGGCCUAUUAAAUAGUAGAGUCAUCUCCGUAAGUGAUUCUUACUUCUUAGAGGGACAAGCGGCGUCUAGCCGCAUGAAAUAGAGCAAUAACA